RNAcentral lists this small RNA (132 nucleotides) under Asanoa hainanensis. RNAcentral describes it as "c-di-AMP sequence". It matches the Rfam family "c-di-AMP riboswitch aptamer (ydaO/yuaA leader)". From Rfam's summary of the family: This family represents a conserved RNA structure found upstream of the ydaO and yuaA genes in Bacillus subtilis and related genes in other bacteria. The ydaO/yuaA element is thought to act as a genetic "off" switch for the ydaO and yuaA genes in its native state. Lineage: Bacteria; Bacillati; Actinomycetota; Actinomycetes; Micromonosporales; Micromonosporaceae. The record is from Rfam by way of RNAcentral.
CGACGACCCGGGCCAGGUAGGCGAAUCGGGGACCCAACCGAGCACUGGGGUGAAUCCGCGCGGUUCGCGCGGUAGGGCGUCCUUCUCGUCCGAAUCCGUCAGCUAACCCGGUAGGCGGCCGCGGGAGAAGGG